This is a long non-coding RNA of Mercenaria mercenaria, 2118 nucleotides long. RefSeq lists it as uncharacterized. Lineage: Eukaryota; Metazoa; Mollusca; Bivalvia; Venerida; Veneridae. The record is from RefSeq and is a predicted model, not a curated record. The transcript is spliced from 2 exons.
CUUAGAAAUUUUUGUGAUGUUUGAUUCAAAAGAGAACUGUAAGACAUUGGAUUACCCUGUACAAAAAUCUUCACAUGGACUCAGGUUGGAAUCAAGGUAUAAUGGACUUCAGGCCUAAUUGACACGGAACCUGACUUUGCUAAAACUGCACAUUGACAACAGCUCGUAGAACACAAAAUGCUCCCCGCCCCCAUUUGAUGCGUUCAGUAACUGUACAAGAAACAGAAAUCAUUUGGUCACUGUGCACUGGACGUUUGAUGUACUACCUUUAAAUCAAUAAUUAUAGGCCAUUUACCAGUCAUAAGUGACUUCUGUAUGAAAUGUGAUCUUAGACCAAAGCAUUCUCUAGUUAUUGGGCAAAAAAAGUUCUAGUGUUCUGGGUCAAUGUGACCUAGACCUUUGACCACUGACUGACCUCAAAAUCAGUAGGGGUCCUCUGCCGGUCAUGAUUAACCUCCCUAUGUAGUUUCAUGAUCCUAGGUCAAAGAGUUCUCAAACUAACAUCCGGAAACAGCUUAACUGUUCCAGCUCACUCUGACCUUGACCUUUGACCUACUGAACUAAAAAUCUAUAGGAGUUAUCUGCUAGCUAUGUUCAACCCUCCCAUUCACUUUCAUGAUCCUAGGCUCAAGAGUAUUAGAGUUAUCAUCUGGAAACUGUUUAACUGUUACAGGUCGCUGUGAUUUUGACCUUUGACCUACUGGCCUCUAGGUCAAUAUGGGUCACUGCUGGUCAUGACCAACCUACAUAUAAAGUUUCAUGAUCUUAGGCCCAAGCAUUCUUGUGUUAUCAUCCGGAAACCAAUUGGUCAACAUACCAAAUGACCGACAGACUGACAAACAUCUGCAAAACAGUAUACCCAGGCUCCUUCUUCAAAGGGUUUCAUUAAAAUCAGAAUAAGUCUAUGCUGACUCUAGCUGGACAAAAAUAAUAUUCAGAAUGGUAAACAGAAAAUUUGAAUUUUCGUUCUUUUGUAAGACAGAAUAUUUAUUGCUUAUUAUAGCUUUGCAUUAUAUUCAAUGAAAGACAGAAAAGGUGGAAAAUAGGUGGCAACUAGUGGAAAUUGGCUGUACUAGCUGAAUCUGAAAAGAUCAUUUUUAAAUGUGUCUGCAGUGUAUUAUUUCUGCAUGAGAGAAAGUUGGUUAAAGAUAAGAUUAAUGAUAGAUCAAGUUACAAGCUCCCACACAAAUGUAUAGAAACAACCCCAGGUGGAAUUUGGGUCAGUUAAGAUUUAUAUACAACAUGUAUGCAGGCAAACAUCAGGUCAAAUGCAAAGAAAUAGUUCUUGCCUAUUCUCUUCAUUAAUUGAAAAAAAAAAAAAGAAGUGUUUAUAAAAAGGAUGUUUUUACAAUAGCUUUACAACUUAAGGAUUUGACACCUUCUUUAGCUGACCAAGAAAGUGUAUGUGUGGAAUCAAUUUAUCUGUGUAAUAAUACCAAAUUUUGAAAUCUGGCAUUUGAUGAGUCAGCCUGGGAGAAACUGGAAACACAUUGUGAGAGGUAACAAUAUUAUACUGUUUAUGUUUUUUUUAAUUAUUACUGUCUUUAACAUUGUCUUAAUUACUCUUAACAAAUACUUGAAUUUGAAACAACAUUUACCAAACUGCUUUGAAUUUAAGUCAAAAAAUCUCCUUCUAUGUCUUAGGAAGUUUGGCAGAUGGAUAAAUCCCAGAUAUAUUUUCUGGAAUAUAGCUCAAUCAUGUUUAUAACACUGUUUGUAAAAUUGUAUCAUUUUGUAAUUUUUUACAUUAUUGAUUAGCACUUAGGAUACAAUAUGUACUUUAAACUGUUCAUACCAGGUACCUUCUGUGAAAAAAGUGCAACUUUGUGACAUGAUAUGCCUGCCUGACUGUAUAUACCUGAGCAGCACACAGCUUAUUACUGCAUAAAAGAAACAUAUCAAGAUAAUUUUGAAUCAGACUGUGUGCUAGAAAAAUGGCCCUACAUCUAAAGGAGUGAAAUUUGGAGAGUCAUUCGCCAUCUACUUAAGCCAUCCUGGAAUAUGAAAAAAUAAGACUGCAUUGACAACAUCCUGAUCCUCGUGUUCAGAUCUUUUGUGAUUUCUUGUGAAGAGUCUUUGAUUUUUCAUAAAAAUAAAAAAUAUAUUAAUAUAAUUUGA